RNA transcript from Pongo pygmaeus (Bornean orangutan), 8427 nucleotides. RefSeq lists it as uncharacterized. NCBI's taxonomy places the organism in Eukaryota, Metazoa, Chordata, Mammalia, Primates, Hominidae. The transcript has 9 exons. The record is from RefSeq and is a predicted model, not a curated record.
GCGGAGGCGAAGAGGGGCGGGACCCGGGCCUGGCCCGUGUGUGUCCUGGAGGCCCCUGGCCCAGGCCGCUGCUGUACGGUGAGCCCCAGGGAGGCGGACCUGGGUCCCGGGAAGGACACCCGCCUGGAUUUGCCCCUUAGGCCCGGCCCGGGCCCCUCGGGAGCAGAACAGCCUUGGGGAGGUGGACAAGAGGGGACUUCGAGAGCAGACGCGCGCCAGCGACAGCAGCCCCGCCCCGGCCUCUCGGGAGCCGUGGGGCAGAGGCUGCGGAGCCCCAGGAGGGUUUCGACCGCCUCUAAACGUCCUUCAGCACCUCUGUUCUCUCAUUUGAGUGUCUGCUGAUUCCCCCGUUAGAUCUGCCCUGGAGACUCGUAGUAAUGCAGAAACAGUCUGCAGGGAUUCUGUCCUGCUGCCUCAGUUGCUAGGGGAAGAGACUGGGCCUUAGCAGGUCUACCAGCCACAGUCUCUGCACGUUUCCAAGAGCAGCAGAAAAUGAACACAUUGCAGGGGCCCGUGUCAUUCAAAGAUGUGGCUGUGGAUUUCACCCAGGAGGAGUGGCAGCAGCUGGACCCUGAUGAGAAGAUAACAUACAGGGAUGUGAUGUUGGAGAACUACAGCCAUCUAGUUUCUGUGGGGUAUGAUAUCACCAAGCCAAACGUCAUCAUUAAGUUGGAGCAGGGAGAGGAGCCGUGGAUAAUGGAAGGUGAAUUUCCAUGUCAGCAUAGUCCAGAAGUCUGGAAAGUUGAUGACCUGAUAGAGAGAAUCCAAGAAAACGAAGACAAACAUUCAAGGCAAGCUGCUUGUAUCAACAGCAAAACCCUGACUGAAGAGAAAGAGAAUACAUUUAGUCAAAUUUACAUGGAAACAAGCCUUGUUCCUUCAAGCAUAAUAGCUCAUAAUUGUGUCUCAUGUGGAAAGAAUUUAGAAUCUAUUUCAGAAUUAAUUAGUAGUGAUGGAAGCUAUGCCAGGACAAAACCUGAUGAGUGUAAUGAAUGUGGGAAAACAUAUCAUGGAGAGAAAAUGUAUGAAUUUAAUCAAAAUGAGGACACCUAUUCUCAAAAUGAAGAAAAUAUUCUUCAGAAAAUUAAUAUUUUGGAGAAACCCUUUGAAUAUAACGAAUGCAUGGAAGCCUUAAACAAUGAGGCUGUUUUUAUUGCUCAUAAGAGAGCUUACAUAGGGGAGAAGCCCUAUGAGUGGAAUGAUUCUGGACCAGACUUCAUACAGAUGUCAAAUUUUAAUGCAUAUCAGAGAUCACAAAUGGAAAUGAAGCCCUUUGAAUGCAGUGAAUGUGGAAAAUCCUUUUGUAAAAAGUCAAAAUUCAUCAUCCACCAGAGGGCUCACACAGGAGAGAAACCUUAUGAAUGUAAUGUGUGUGGGAAAUCCUUCAGCCAAAAGGGAACCCUCACUGUACAUCGGAGAUCACACUUAGAGGAAAAGCCCUAUAAAUGUAAUGAAUGUGGGAAAACCUUUUGUCAGAAGUUACACCUCACUCAACACCUAAGAACUCAUUCAGGAGAGAAACCCUACGAAUGUAGCGAAUGUGGGAAAACCUUCUGCCAAAAGACACAUCUCACCCUACACCAGAGGAAUCAUUCAGGAGAGAGGCCCUAUCCAUGUAACGAAUGUGGGAAAUCCUUCUCCCGCAAGUCCGCUCUCAGUGACCAUCAGAGAACUCACACAGGGGAGAAGCUUUAUAAAUGUAAUGAAUGUGGGAAAUCCUACUACCGAAAGUCUACUCUGAUUACACAUCAGAGAACACACACAGGAGAGAAGCCCUAUCAGUGUAGCGAGUGUGGGAAAUUCUUUUCUCGGGUGUCAUACCUCACUAUACAUUAUAGAAGUCAUUUAGAAGAGAAACCCUAUGAAUGUAAUGAAUGUGGCAAAACCUUCAAUUUAAAUUCAGCCUUCAUUAGACAUCGGAAAGUACACACAGAAGAGAAAUCCCAUGAAUGUAGUGAAUGUGGAAAGUUCUCUCAGUUGUCAUAUCUCACUGACCAUCAUACAGCUCAUUUAGGAGAGAAACCCUAUGAAUGUAAUGAAUGUGGGAAAACCUUCCUUGUAAAUUCAGCCUUCAAUGGGCACCAGCCACUUCCAAAAGGGGAGAAAUCCUAUGAAUGUAAUGUAUGUGGAAAGUUAUUCACUGAGUUGUCAUACUUUACUGAACAUUAUAGAAGUCAUUCAGAAGAGAAACCUUACGGAUGUAGUGAAUGUGGGAAAACCUUUUCCCAUAAUUCAUCCCUCUUCAGACAUCAAAGAGUACACACAGGUGAGAAACCCUAUGAAUGUUAUGAAUGUGGAAAAUUCUUCUCUCAGAAAUCAUAUCUCACCAUACAUCAUCGAAUUCAUUCAGGAGAGAAACCCUAUGAAUGUAGUAAAUGUGGAAAAGUCUUCUCUCGGAUGUCAAACCUCACUGUCCACUACAGAAGCCAUUCAGGAGAGAAACCCUAUGAAUGUAAUGAAUGUGGGAAAGUCUUUUCUCAGAAGUCAUACCUCACUGUACACUAUAGAACUCAUUCAGGAGAGAAACCCUAUGAAUGUAAUGAAUGUGGGAAAAAAUUCCACCACAGAUCAGCCUUCAAUAGCCAUCAGAGAAUUCAUAGAAGAGGAAAUAUGAACGUACUUGAUGUGGAAAAUCUCUGAAGUCAGAUCUCAAUUUUUAGAAAACUCUGAAUAUAAUGAAUAUGGGAAAUCCAAUAGGAAGUCAAAGCAUUUAUCUGAGAGUUCGUGUUCCUGAAUGGUGAGAAGCAUUUAGGCGUUAGAGUCAUUUUAAUCCAAAUUUUCACAGAGAAGAAUCCCGAAGAAUGUAACAAGAAGCAAAGCCUUCAGUAAGAUCAUACAACUCAUCGGACACUAAUUUAUGCAGGAGUGAAGUUUUAUAAAUAUUUAAUAUUUAUUUUGGAUUCAAAUUGUAUUUACAUAUCAGGGAAUCAUACAAAGGCAAAAUCUGUCAAUAUGGUGAAUGUGGAAAAUAUAUUGUCUUGGAAAUUUGUUCUAAAAGCCAUAUUUUUAAUGUAAAAUCAGGUGUUUAUAGGAAAGAUCUCAGAGGCUAUAAGCUCUGAAUAAAUCUUCAUUGUAUAAAAUGAAGUUUUUAAAUUGUCAGGAGUUGAUCAUGAGGACAGUAGCAUUACAUAAGUAUAUGGCCGUUUUUUAUCAUGUCUUAAAAAUGCAAUCUAAUGGUAAUUCUAUGCAAGUUUGGAAUUGGACGACUUGUGAAGAGGCAGUUUUCUUAUUUGAGUAUUAGGAUGGCAAAAUGUAUUAAGACAGGACAUAUUGUUGGCGAGAUAAUAUUUAAUAGGUAUAAAAUGGUAAAAUACCUAGUUUUCUAUUUAGAGGAAUUUACAAAUGGGUUUUUAACAAAUGCCUCAUUAGUAGAGGAGGCAGUGGUUUUGUAAAGUUUUCAACUGCAUCUGAGUAAGAUAAGAUUUUCUAAAGACUAUUUUGAUAAACUAUACAUACAUAAUUUGGAAUUGUUUAAGUCUAUUUCAGUGAAAGAGAACAGCAUACUGCCCAUACUCUAAAAUAUCCCCAGUUCUCACACCACCCUUGUUUUAACCCAUAGGUUUGAGUGUGCCUAGUGCCAAUAUUUUAUAAUUUAUAAAUUUUAUUCACAAACUUCUGUUUGAUACAAAUACAGUGUCAUUGUUUUGUGCAUUCUCCUUUUUCCCAGUAUUUCAGAACAAAUUGAUUCAAGUUUCUAGCAGAUAUUUUUUGAUCAAUUAACUUAAUGUCCUCGCUCCAUUUCUUGCUGGAACAGUUUAGGUACCUACUGCUUCUUCACAUGACACAGGGGAAUCCUGAUUAGUCAAAAUAAUAAUGAUUUCAUUCUCUUUGCCAGUAACUUGUUUUAUAGUGGUCAUAUGACCUGAUACUGGGUAAACAAAACAAAGAUGGAUUUGUUCUGGGAAAAGGUAAAAUGGUAAUCAAAUAGAUUGUGUUCCAGGAAUGCAAAGGUGGCUUAAUAUUCACAAGUCAGUUGCUAUUAUACACCACCUGUAGAAAAGUAAUCUGGCAUGCAGAACAUUCUUGUGGUAAAAUUAAUGUUCGUUUAUGAUCUUAGCAAAUGAUGGAUUGAAAGGGACUUCCUUAAUUGCAUAAGGAGACUUAAACUACAACAAACAGUAUGCUUAAUGAUGAAAUAGUGAACAUUUCUCCUAAGAUUAUAAAAAUAAGACAAGGAUAUCUGCUGUCAAUGAUUUUAUUCAGCAUUGUUCAGAAGGACCUAACCAGAAAACUAAUGCAAGAAACAAACAAAAGGCAUAGAGAUUAGAAAAGAAGUAAAACUUUAAAAACGAAAAAGAAUAUAAAUCUCUAUUUGCAGAUGCCGUGAGUAAAUUUGGUAAGUUCCCUGCAUAAAAUUUAUGCAAAAAGCAUUUUAUGAUAUACCAGCAAAAAACAUGGAAAAUGAAAUUUUGAAAAGCAGUGCCACUUAAAAGAUCCCUCAAGUGCCUAGGGGGAGAAAAUGAGUUAAUAUGCUUUGAAGAACUGUAUCCAGAAAAGAAAAUUACAAAGGAGGAGAGGGAUAGGAUUCCAGGACAAUCUCAAAACUAUUGCUUUUUCCUAAAUUCAUUGCAACCUUAAAAUCCUAGCAAGUUCUUUAAUGUAAAUUAACAAGCUAAUUCUAGAAUUCAUUCAUAUGCAUAUUCAAAAGGCCAAUAAUUGUCAAGGCUACCCUGUAGAAUGGACAGAGAGGAUUGAAAUUUCUAAAUAUCAAGACCUGUUAUAAAGCCAUAGAAAUAAUGAAGGUGUUAUUUUGGCACAAGGAUGAAAAAACUGACUAGUGGAACAGCAUACAGAUUCAAAAGUAGACCCACAUGUGUACCAAUACCUGACUUUUGAGAAAGGUGACAUUGAAGUGUAGUGGGGGAAAGGGUGUUCUUUCCAGUAAAUGUACUUUGCCAAUUAAAUUUUUUAAUUUAAAAAAAAGUUAUUUGGAGGUGGAUUGCAGAUCUGAAUAUGAAAUAUGAAAGCUUUACAAAGAAAUCUUAGGACAGUUUGUAAUCUUGGAGUAAGCAAAGGUUUAUUGAGACCCAAAAAGUAUUAACCCAUAAAAUUAGAACUUAAUAUUAAAUUUGAGAACUUCUAUUUAUCAGAAAGACCACCAGUAAGAAAAUGAAUAGGAAACCAUGGGGAGGAGAAGAUAUUUGCAGUUCAUGUAUGUGACAACAGCACUGAGUAUAGCAAAAGUGUUGGCAAACUUUUUAGCAAGGCAACAGAUGGUGAAAAUUUUUGGCUUUGUCACAACUGCUCAUCUUUGCUAUUGUGUGAAAGCAUCCGUACACCAUGCAUUAAAAAAAAAUGAGCAUGGCUGCUUCCCAGUAAAACCAUUCACAAUCCCAGGUGGCAGUCUGGAUUUGGUCUGCACUCAUAGUUUUCUGGUCCCUGAUCUCGAAUAUGUAAAGAGCACCUACAAAUCAACAAGGGGGAAACUGGAAAAGGCAAAAGACUUUAGAGGAUAUCCACUCACUUUAGAGGAUAUCCAGAUGGCCAAUAAGCAUGAAAAGAUAUGUUAGCUUUAUUAGUAAUCAGGGAAAUGGAAAUUUAAAACAUGUAGCACUGCUACCCAUCCAUGGAAAUGGUUAAGAUGAAAAGCAUGAAAAAGCAUCACGUUUUGGCAAGGAUGUAAGCAAGAGGAACUGUACUCUACUGGUGGAAUUGCUCAUCGAUAAAACCAUUUUUGAAAGCUGGCACUUAAAGCCAAGCAUAUGUAUACUGUUUUAUCCAAACCCAGCAAAAAUGCAUGUGUCUGUCCACCAAAGGACAUGUACUAGAAUAUUUAUAGCAUAAAACUGCACAAAACAGAACUAUCUUAAGGCACAUGUGCAAUGGAGUGAAUAAAGAAGUGGCAUAUUUCCAUGGAAUACUGUAAAACAGUGAGCAUGAAUGAACUAGAAGUCCGUGCAAUAACAGUUGAAUUUAACAAACCUUGCUGAAUGAAAGACUCCAGACACAAAAGCCAACAUGCUGUAUGAUUCCUUCUAUAUAAAUUAUAAAGAUGGGCAAAACUUGUAUACGUGGUUCAAAAUCAGGAUAGCGGUUACCCUUGGCCAAGGCUGAAGGGGCAUUUAUCUGGUGCUGGGAAUAAUCUGUUUCUAAACCUAGGUGCUAAAUAUUUGAGUGUGUUCUGAGCUGUGCACUUAAGAUAUGUGUAUUUUUCUGCAUGUGUGUUACACUUUCCAUAAAAGUUUUUUCUAAAAUCACAAAUGGCUAACAUUUGUGUCGCUCAUCACUCUAAUCAUAUUUUUCUAGAUGUGUAUGAAUAUGCUGCAUAACAGGAAUUAAAUGGCAGAUUUUGCAUAAUUCUGUGCAGGAAAUACAUGUUUAUAGUAAUUUUGAUGGCAACUACUAAGAUUUCCUACGCUGUCCUUAAGGCUUAGCAUAAUGUAUAUUUUAAGUGAAAUAUUUGGGAAGGUUAAAGAGUCAUUACAUACUUUGUCAUCCUAUACUUUUGCAUAUAUAAAUAGGUCUGAGCUGCCUCUUCAAUAAAGAAGCUAAUGUGUAACAUUUCAUAUUUCCCUAAACAAAUUGUUUUUUGCAUUUCUGAAUUCGGGAUUCAUCUUAACUUUUACCAUAGGGGUGACCUUUCUUGGCAGUGAAUGAAUAUAAUGCUGAGUUUGAUUUGAUGGAAAAUUAUUUAAAAAGUAUUCAGCUAAACCUUUGAGCAAAUGUCAGAUACACAGUUAACAGCACAGAUGUAAGUGAGUGAAAGAAAUGGGGCACCAAGACUUUGCACCAUUGGGAUAAAAAAGCACUCUGGGUGAGGGCUGGGUGAGGGCUGGCUGAGCUUGUAAAAGCACAGCAAGAAGGACGUGACAUUGGAUGGCAUAGACUGCAUGCCUCAUUUUUUUUUUUUUUUUUUGGUGGGAAGGCAUUUGUUUUUUGUUUUUCUUUCUUUUAUUUUUAGAGUCUGGUUCUCACCACAGCCUGCAGUGCAGUGGUGCAAUCACAGCUCACUGCAGCCCCGACUUUCUAGGCUCAAAUAAUCCUCCCAUCUCAGGCUCCUGAGUAGCUGGGACUACAGGUGCAUGCCACCACACCUGGCUAAUUUAUUUUUUUUGUUGUUUUUUUCGUAGAGACGGGGUCUUGCUGUGUUGCUGGACUCAAACUCCUGGGCUCAAGUGGUCCAUCCAACUCGGCCGCCCAAAGUCCUGGGAUUGAUUCCAGGAGUGAGCCACCUUGCCCGGCCAUGUGCUUUUCAUUCCACCUUACUCAUUGAGGGUUAAGCUGAAGUGUGAACAGGCAAGAUUGCAGCACUUCCCUGGAGAAAAUGAGUUGUGGCAAAAAUAACCAGACAUUUGAGGAACUCAGUCACCAAAGAACAAACUGCACCACCUAUGCUAAAGAUUCUCAAAGAAAUAAGAAUAUUUUGGUAAUGUUUGGGAGACUGAGGUAGGAGGAUCUCUUGAGGCCGCGGUUCAAGACCUGCCUGGGCAACAUAGUGAGACUCCGUCUCUACAAAAGAUAAUUUUAAAAAUUAGCUGGGCAUGGCUGCGUGUACCUGUGGUUCCAGCUACUCAGGAGGCCGAGAUGGGAGGAUCGCUUGAGCCCAGGAAUUUGAGGCGACAGUGAGCUAUGAUCAUGCCACUGCAUUCCAGCUCAGGCAACAGUGAGACCCUAUCUCAAAAACACAAAAACAAAAAAAUAGGCAUGCAAAGAAGCGGAAAAACAGAACCCAUAAUGAGUAGAAAAGUAACAAAGACCCAGAAAUGGCAUAGAUGAUGGAAUUAGUGAUCAGGACAUUAAAACAGCUACUAUGAAUAUUCCCCGUAUGUUCAAGAAGAAUGGAGAAUGAACCAGCGUGAGGGACCGGAAACGACUGUGUUCCAUGCUGAGGUUGGCAGAGGCUGGCCCGGAUGCUGAGCCCAGGCUCAACUCGGGGACCUGGGCUGUUGCACUGGGGCUGGACUGGGGAUCACUGAAGAGGGCCAGGCCCGCGUGGGUCUCCAGGGCCGUGCUCAGGGGCGUGGUCUUCUGCAGUGGGGGCGUGGCUGCCGCCCUGCCCGCAGGCCAUGUGGCCCCUGCUGUUGCUGCUGCUGCUGCUGCUCCCGGUCGCCCCGGUCCCCACCGCCAAGGCCGCUCCCCUCCCGGAUGCUAACACCCAGGAAGGCCUUCAGAACCUGCUCCAAGGAGUCGAGGCUGGCGGAGACGGAGAGCUGCAGGCAGACUCACACCUGGCCCCGGACUCUGGCUGUAUUGAUGGGGCUGUGGUGGCCAUGCGACCAGAAAGCCGGGGAGGAAGACCUGCGGCUCCGUGAGAGGCGUCCAGGGCAGCAGGCCAUGGCGACAGGCUCCGGGGAACAUGGGGCUUUCCCUGUCCACUCCCAAGGAGUGUGGGCCUCAACGCAUUGGCAGGGGACGGCCGUGUGCCCUCUCCAGACCCCACCCCUACAUCCAUUUAUUAGAAAUAAUAAACUUCUUUCUUAGCUAGCA